GCGGCAACAGCUCAGAUUUGAAAGCUGGCCCCCUAGCAGGGGUCCGCGUUGUAAUCUGCAGAGGACGCCUCUGGCGAGGCGGUGCACUAAGUCCCCUGGAACGGGGCGCCAUAGAGGGUGACAGCCCCGUGCGUGCGCCGCCGAGCCUGUGUGAGGCUCCUUCGACGAGUCGAGUAGUUUGGGAAUGCUGCUCUAAACGGGAGGUACAUGCCUUCUAAAGCUAAAUACCCGCCAGAGACCGAUAGCGCACAAGUAGCGUAAGCGAAAGGUGAAAAGCACCCUGGAGAGAGGGUUAAACAGAACGUGAAAUUGCUGCAAGGGAAGCGCUAGCGUUGAGACGCGGGCCGGCCUGUUUACCCCGCCUUCUGGCGGGGCCACUCAGCGUCCGCGCCUGGGCCAGCACCGGCUUCCGAGGCCGCUGAAGACCGCCGGGAACGUGGCUCCUCCGGGAGUGUUAUAGCCCGGCGGGCGAUGCGGCCGAGGGGGCCGAGGUACCUGCGCCUUCGGGCAUGGGUGCUGGCGUAAUCAUCAUUAGCGACCCGUCUUGAAACACGGACCAAGGAGUCGAGGUAUCGCGCGAGUGUUGGGGCGUCAAACCCCUAACGCGCAGUGAAAGCGAACGCUUGUGGGAAGCCUUACGGCGGCACCACAGACCGAUCCAGAAGCCUCGGCGGACGGAUUUGAGUAGGAGCGCGGUGCCUCGGACCCGAAAGAUGGUGAACUAUGCUUGGAUAGGGUGAAGCCAGGGGAAACUCUGGUGGAGGCUCGCAGCGGUUCUGACGUGCAAAUCGAUCGUCGAAUCUGGGCAUAGGGGCGAAAGACUAAUCGAACCAUCUAGUAGCUGGUUACGGCCGAAGUUUCCCUCAGGAUAGCAGUGUUGGAUUCCUCAGUUUUAUGAGGUAGAGCGAAUGAUUAGGGACUCGGGGGCGCUAUUUAGCCUUCAUCCAUUCUCAAACUUCGAAUGCGUAAGAAGCCCCCGUUGCUUCGGUGAACGGGGGCCUUCGAAUGUACCAACACUAGUGGGCCAUUUUUGGUAAGCAGAACUGGCGAUGCGGGAUGAACCGAACGGGGGGUUAAGGCGCCUAAGUGAACGCUCAUGAGACACCACAAAAGGCGUUAGUACAUCUUGACAGCAGGACGGUGGCCAUGGAAGUCGGAAUCCGCUAAGGACUGUGUAACAACUCUCCUGCCGAAUGUACUAGCCCUGAAAAUGGAUGGCGCUAAAGCGUUCCGCCUAUACCUCCCCCUUAGGGCGGCUCUGUUGCCCCAAGGAGUAGGCCGUCGCG
RNAcentral lists this ribosomal RNA (1286 nucleotides) under Sordariales sp. AH-2022a. RNAcentral describes it as "partial large subunit ribosomal RNA". It matches the Rfam family "Eukaryotic large subunit ribosomal RNA", at positions 98 to 1393 of the family's 3401-position model. The record is from RNAcentral. Lineage: Eukaryota; Fungi; Ascomycota; Sordariomycetes; Sordariales.